CCCUAUUUGGAUAAACAUAAAUGCCGGAUUAGGCUUUUUUGGGUGAGGUAACUGCUCAGCAAAGGGCGCCCAAUUUCGUAGGUGGUAUGAGAGGGCCGAUCCACCCCCCGCUGGACUAAAGCCCCGGCCCAGACUUCUGCGGGAGGCAUCAGUGGGGAAUAUUUGGACAAUGGGUACAAGCCUGAUUCCAGCAAUGCAGGGUGUGUGAAGAAGGCCUGUGGGUUGUAAAACACCCUUCAGUAGAGAAGAAAAGAUCAUUGUUAUAUACCCGUGAAUUGUACUGUAACCUACAGAAGAAGCUCCGGCUAACUCCGUCGCAGCAUCCGCGGUAAUACGGAGGGUCAGAGCGUUAAUCGGAAUUCUUGGGUAUAAAGCGGGCGUAGGCGGUUUGUGUCAGUCGAAUGUGAAAGCCCAGGGCUUAACCUUGGAAUUGCGUUCCGAUAGUGCCUGGUUAGAGUAUGGUAGAGGUAAGUGGAAUUUGCGGUGUACCGGUGAAAUGGGUAGAUAUCGGAAGGAACUUCAGUGGUAAAGGGGACUUCGUGGGACAAUCCUGUCCCUCGAGGUUGUCCACCGUGGGGAGCCAACAGGAUUAGCUUUCCUGGUAGGC
Molecule: ribosomal RNA, 607 nt
Filed under: uncultured bacterium
Lineage: Bacteria
Description: bacterial SSU rRNA
Rfam family: Bacterial small subunit ribosomal RNA
Source: RNAcentral